This is a small nucleolar RNA of Coturnix japonica (Japanese quail), 129 nucleotides long. Ensembl annotates it as small nucleolar RNA, H/ACA box 47. Its record names the gene SNORA47. The record is from Ensembl. NCBI's taxonomy places the organism in Eukaryota, Metazoa, Chordata, Aves, Galliformes, Phasianidae.
UGGAGGUCUGAGAAGGUAAGACAGUUUAACUUGAUGCUGUAUCUUACUGGUUAUGGCCUCCAACAUUAAAUCGGUGCAAUGGCAACUCAUGUUUCCCUCCUGACAUGAGGGAAAGCGAAACUGCAUUUG